AGGUGUGAAUGUGCGAAUAUUUGCCUGUCUCUCUGUGUUAGCCCUGUGAUGGACUGGCCACCUGUCCAGGGUAUACCCUGCCCCAUGGCAGCUGGGAUAGGCUGCAGUGCUGUCUCCCUGUGACCCUGAACUGGAUAAGUGGAAGAAAAUGGAUGGGUGGACCUAUCGUCUAUGACUUGCUCAGUGUCUAUAACCCUACUAGACCUGUCAGGUCAUCAAGUGCAGAUCUUUUAACUGGAUGGUAACUUUUCCAUGUUGGUGUAAGGACUGUGGCUGCUGCAUCCCGAACGAGUUCAAGUCAUCCUACUGAUGAUUUGGAUAAUCCUCCAAAUUAAAAAGUUUCUCGCAGUCAGUUAGAGAUAAGAGUUUUAGAGUUAGAGUUAAGUUUUGAUUUUUUUUUUUCAAGUUAAAGCCAUUAAUUUAAAUAUUAAUAUAACUGUCAAAGCUGAGAUCACUGUCCCAAAUGAUGCCAAUGUUUCUGAAUUGCUCAGUGUAUUUCAGAGAAACGGAUAAUAAAGAUGAGCAAAAUGUCAGUCUGUGACUUUCUGGACUAACAAGUAUUUCUGUGUUUCUGUGUCUCUGUUCAGUUGUAAGAAGUUUCGAGACAUCCAGGAAUAAUGUAAACAAAGCAGCUCAUUAGAUUGUGAACAAAAGUUAGAUAAUUAAAGGAAAAUGAUAAAUACAACAGUGUAUCAUCAGCAUAAAAAUAAUAUAUUAUGAUUCUUUCAGAUAGCACCAUGCAAAGCAUGUAAAGGUUAAAGAGUACAGGACCAAGAGCUGAUCCCUGAGGAACCCCUGAGAUCUGCAGAUCUAACUGAAGAACUGACGAUACCUGCUGUGGUGACUCUAAAGGAAACAGCUGAAAGAAGAAGAAAAAGAGUAGAUAUGUACAGGUUCAAUAACAACCAAAGAAGUAAUCUUUAAAGACCUGCUUUUUUUCCACUUCUUGCUCAAAACCUUUUGUCCAAACCACUUAUCGUCGCUGUCAUAAUGAAAGACUUCUUCACACCUUAAUACACAAGAUUUCUAAAGCUAAUAAUCUUGCUUCCUUUUUCCAUCAUGUGCUCUUGAAACUACGUGUUAGAAAAGGAAGCCCAACCUUAAAUUGAUGCCUAGCAGUGACUUCCACUCCCUCAUUCAUGAAACGUUUACUGGACAUGGGGCUGCCUGAGGGCAAUUCUGUGCAAUAAAAGGUCUGAAAACCAACCACUACUGUAGGCCCAUGAUGCCACCAGGGGCCACAACCAGCCUGCCAAAGCAUUCAGUUCAGCUCACUGGAUGGUUUUUCAAUGGGAGAAAAUUGCACAAAAUCACUAACUACUCCAGUUUAAAUAAAUAAUAAAUGAAUAAAUAUAUAAUGUUAUUCCUUUUGCAUAAAUGCCAGUCUCACUACACAAGUGAAAAAGUCUAGGAGAGUUAAAAGUAUAUCUAGAUCGAGAAAAGGUUUUUGAAUCUUAAAAUUUUAAAUAAAGUUUUUGCUUACUUGCAAAAUCUCAGCACAUGGUUUUAUGGCUUUGCACUGAUGUAGGCCUGACUAUGGUCCAGGUGAAUGUUUUUAGUUUCCUUCUUUAUACUAAAGAAAGUGUAAUGUAAAUAAAAUUAAUGUAAAUGUGCCAUUUGAAUCAAAUUUUAGACCCAAAUCUGAACAUAACCUACACUGAAUCAGGUUAUAUGCUCAGCAUGGGUUACCAUAGUGAUCGAGUCCUUGAAAACAAAGCCACCUUCCAGCUUUGAACUUGACUUCGCUGACACAAUGUUACUUAUUAAUCUUGCUUCAUUCAGGCCAGCAGUUGUAGCUGCCUUUUUGUACUUAAAG
Long non-coding RNA from Oreochromis aureus, 1816 nucleotides. RefSeq lists it as uncharacterized. NCBI's taxonomy places the organism in Eukaryota, Metazoa, Chordata, Actinopteri, Cichliformes, Cichlidae. The record is from RefSeq and is a predicted model, not a curated record. The transcript has 3 exons.